Molecule: ribosomal RNA, 253 nt
Filed under: uncultured bacterium
Lineage: Bacteria
Description: partial 16S ribosomal RNA
Rfam family: Bacterial small subunit ribosomal RNA
Source: RNAcentral
UACGUAGGGUGCGAGCGUUAAUCGGAAUUACUGGGCGUAAAGCGUGCGCAGGCGGGCUUUUAAGCCAGACGUGAAAUCCCCGGGCUUAACCUGGGAACGGCGUUUGGGACUGGGAGUCUGGAGUGCGGCAGAGGAGACUGGAAUUCCUGGUGUAGCAGUGAAAUGCGUAGAUAUCAGGAGGAAUACCGAUGGCGAAGGCAGGUCUCUGGGCUGACACUGACGCUCAUGCACGAAAGCGUGGGGAGCAAACAGG